GCUGCCCCUGCACCCCCUGGCAGCUUCCAGCCUCUGGGCAUCUUCUGCUCCUGGGGUCUGGAAAACGGAGCAGGUCGAGCCCAAAGCAAAACCGCUGCAAUUCAAAGCGCAGGGAGGGAGGUGGAGCCAGGCUGUGGCUGAACAGCCUCGGGGCAGGGGGCUUUGCGGAGGGGUCUCCCUCGCCCUCCCCUGCAUGGGCAGAAAGCCGGCAGACCCCUGGCACCGCGGCAUCAAGAGGAGCCAUAAGAAAUCUCCCCUCAGCCCCGGUGCUGCGCCGUCCUCUGCCCUGCUCCCCUCCAGCGCCCCGUGGGCCAGGCCUGGGGGCUCAGAGCCCGCACCCGUCCCAGGGAGCCCAAGGUGGGGCUGCCCCACCCCAGCUCUAGCCGCGAGGCUCCUCUGCCUUCCCAGCCCCAGCAGAGCUCAGCUGCCCAGGGGGCUCCUGCCCCAGCUCUGGCUGGUGCCAGCUGGCACCCACAGCCCCCGUCCACCGCGUAUCCCCUGGCUCCAUUUGCCACCAGUGCCCGGAGCAUCGGAGCUGAUGGCAUAUGGGGUGCAGGUUGCGUCUGAGCAAAGCGAUGAAGGAAAUCCAUCCUCAUCCUUCAGCGCCACGCCAGAGGCUGACCCAGGUAGGUACCCCAGUUUCCAGCCAUUCUGGGGAUGAUGGGCCUGGCCCGGCCCAGCGAGCGGUGCUGAGGCCAUGAGCACUAAGUGCACGGGGGCUGGCUGUGCCGAGCCCCGACCCCUCGGGAAAGCCCUGGGUGGCGGGGGGCAGGCAGCUGCUUGCCCCUCGCCCACGCAUCUCCUCCCCACACAGGCAUCGCCGCCCGUCCGCGCCCCUCGACUCGCCGCCRAUGGCCCUUGCUCCUCAGCACAGYGCUCCGGGCUCUGCGCAGAGCUUUCUCCUGCAGCUGUGUCACAGGGCARCGAGAGGGACGGCGCAAGGACGCAAGGGCCAGGCAGGUCCCCUGAGAUCGGGGCUGCCCCUGAGGAUGCGCGGCGCAAAGACAGGGACCAACGGAGAUGCACAUGAYCACGCUGGAGGCACACCAACUUGCACACUCCUGCAGACACCCGUCAGGCUACAGCCAUUCCUACCCAAAAUAAACACUUGGGAAGCUUUUUCGCCCAGUGUUAACUUUGUGUCAGGUCCAUCUGGAGAGAGCCUGGGGCAGGUCAAGGCAGGAAGGCAGAGAGAGCUGCAGGGAAACCCGGUCAGGCGCUGCCUGUCACAGAGCAGCCGGGGUGGGAAGGGGCUUCGGCAGGUCUCUGCUCCGACCUCCUGCUGCAAGUGGGGCCGACCGGAGCAGGUUUCCUGGGGCCGGGCACCGUCGAGGAGCGACUGGCUCCACGGAUUCCCCCACGAGCCUGGGCCCCUGGUCCAGUGCUCGAGCACCCUUAGGCUACAGAGUCUUUCCUGUCUCUCGUGGGAAUUUCCCCCUGCUGCAACUUGUGCUCUUGCCCCUCGUCCUGUCCCCAGCUACCUCUGGCUCCAUCCUGCCGCCACCCUGCCGUCAGGCAGAUGCCGACAGCGGCCUGAUCCCCCUGCGCCUUCUCUUCUCCUGCCUCAACAGCCCCAGCGCCCKCGGCCUCUCCUCACACCUCCCGGGCUCCAGCUCCCCACCAGCUCCCGGCCCGCGCCUCCCCCRCGGCCACGGUCCCCGCACAGGAUGGAGCACCUCCUUCCAAAGGACCUCUCCUGUCAUGGUCCCAACAAYGUCCCCUUGCACGUGUCCCCUCCGCCUCGCUCCAAAAACGCCCCUCUGCACCCCUCUCCUCACCUGGCCCCUCCCGCCUCCCCACCUGAGGCCCCUCCUGUGUGUCCUCCCGGAUCACACGCGUGCUUUGGCGUCUCCUGCCCCUCGCAGCUACGCGACAGCCCUGGGGACGCGGCCAGCGCUUGCCGAGGCACAUGCUGCGGAGCUGAGGGGCUCAGCGGCAGCCGCCGCCGCCGCCG
Long non-coding RNA from Apteryx haastii (Great spotted kiwi), 1954 nucleotides. The record is from Ensembl. NCBI's taxonomy places the organism in Eukaryota, Metazoa, Chordata, Aves, Apterygiformes, Apterygidae.